This 440-nucleotide ribosomal RNA is filed under the name uncultured bacterium. Its description in RNAcentral is "partial 16S ribosomal RNA". It matches the Rfam family "Bacterial small subunit ribosomal RNA", at positions 338 to 795 of the family's 1533-position model. The record is from RNAcentral.
CCUACGGGUGGCUGCAGUGGGGAAUAUUGCACAAUGGGGGAAACCCUGAUGCAGCGACGCCGCGUGAAGGAAGAAGUAUUUCGGUAUGUAAACUUCUAUCAGCAGGGAAGAAAAUGACGGUACCUGACUAAGAAGCCCCGGCUAACUACGUUCCAGCAGCCGCGGGGAUAAGUAGGGGGCAAGCGUUAUCCGGAUUUACUGGUUGUAAAGGGAGCGUAGGCGGUUUAGAAAGUAAGAAGUGAAAGCCCUGGGCUCAACUCCGGGACUGCUUUUGAAACUGUUGAACUAGAGUGCAGGAGAGGUGAGUGGAAUUCCUAGUGUAGCGGUGAAAUGCGUAGAUAUUAGGAGGAACACCAGUGGCGAAGGCGGCUUACUGGACUGUAAAUGACGCUGAGGCUCGAAAGCGUGGGGAGCAAACAGGAUUAGAUACCCGAGUAGUC